This 94-nucleotide transfer RNA is filed under the name Planctomycetes bacterium DG_20. RNAcentral describes it as "tRNA-Ser". It matches the Rfam family "tRNA". From Rfam's summary of the family: Transfer RNA (tRNA) molecules are approximately 80 nucleotides in length. Their secondary structure includes four short double-helical elements and three loops (D, anti-codon, and T loops). Lineage: Bacteria; Pseudomonadati; Planctomycetota. The record is from RNAcentral.
GGAGAGGUGGCUGAGUGGCCGAAAGCGACGGUUUGCUAAACCGUUGAGUGGGUUAAGACCUGCUCCGCGGGUUCGAAUCCCGCCCUCUCCGCCA